Molecule: ribosomal RNA, 408 nt
Filed under: uncultured microorganism
Description: bacterial SSU rRNA
Rfam family: Archaeal small subunit ribosomal RNA
Source: RNAcentral
GCGCACCAGGCGCGAAACUUUACAAUGUACGAAAGCACGAUAAGGGAACUCUGAGUGCCUCCUAAGGAGGCUGUUCAGGUGUCUAAAAGCACCUGAAGGAAGGGCUGGGUAAGACCGGUGCCAGCCGCCGCGGUAACACCGGCAGCCCAAGUGGUAGCCACGUUUAUUGGGUCUAAAGCGUCCGUAGCCGGCUGGGUAAGUUCCUUGGGAAAUUUGGCUGCUUAACAGUCAAGCUUUCAGGGAAUACUGCCCGGCUUGGGACCGGGAGAGGUCAGAGGUACUCCAGGGGUAGGGGUGAAAUCCAUUAAUCCUUGGGGGACCACCGGUAGCGAAGGCGUCUGACCAGACCGGGUCCGACGGUGAGGGACGAAGGCUAGGGGCGCGAACCGGAUUAGAUACCCCUGUAGU